Molecule: ribosomal RNA, 366 nt
Filed under: Geophagus proximus
Lineage: Eukaryota; Metazoa; Chordata; Actinopteri; Cichliformes; Cichlidae
Description: partial 12S ribosomal RNA
Rfam family: Bacterial small subunit ribosomal RNA
Source: RNAcentral
UGCUACACCCGCUAUCCGCCAGGGUACUACGAGCAUUAGCUUAAAACCCAAAGGACUUGGCGGUGCUUUAGAUCCCCCUAGAGGAGCCUGUUCUAGAACCGAUAACCCCCGUUAAACCUCACCCUCCCUUGUCAUUCCCGCCUAUAUACCGCCGUCGUCAGCUUACCCUGUGAAGGCACCAUAGUAAGCUAAAUCAGUACAACCCAAAACGUCAGGUCGAGGUGUAGCAUAUGAGAGGGGAAGAAAUGGGCUACAUUCCCUAUAUUUAGGGAACACGAACAAUGUAUUGAAAAAUACAUUAUGAAGGAGGAUUUAGUAGUAAGCUAGAAAAUAGAGUGUUCUGCUGAAACUGGCCCUGAAGCGCGC